GUUAUGAGACCGGCAAACGGGUGCGGAACACGUACGCAACCUUCCCAAAACUGGUGAAUAGCCCUCCGAAAGGAGGAUUAAAACACCGUAACUUAAUGAAGUGGCAUCACUUUAUUAAUAUAGCUCCGGCGGUUUUGGAUGGGCGUGCGCCUGAUUAGGUAGUUGGCGGGGUAACGGCCCACCAAGCCUACGAUCAGUAACUGGUGUGAGAGCACGACCAGUCACACGGGCACUGAGACACGGGCCCGACUCCUACGGGAGGCAGCAGUAAGGAAUAUUGGUCAAUGGACGCAAGUCUGAACCAGCCAUGCCGCGUGAAGGAUGACGGCCCUCUGGGUUGUAAACUUCUUUUAUCUGGGACGAAAAAAGGUCAUUCUUGAUCACUUGACGGUACCAGAGGAAUAAGCACCGGCUAACUCCGUGCCAGCAGCCGCGGUAAUACGGAGGGUGCAAGCGUUAUCCGGAUUUACUGGGUUUAAAGGGUGCGUAGGUGGGUCUGUAAGUCAGUGGUGAAAUCUCCGAGCUUAACUCGGAAACUGCCAUUGAUACUAUAGGUCUUGAAUUAUCUGGAGGUGAGCGGAAUAUGUCAUGUAGCGGUGAAAUGCUUAGAUAUGACAUAGAACACCAAUUGCGAAGGCAGCUCACUACGGAUCGAUUGACACUGAGGCACGAAAGCGUGGGGAUCAAACAGGAUUAGAUACCCUGGUAGUCCACGCCCUAAACGAUGGAUACUCGACAU
This 739-nucleotide ribosomal RNA is filed under the name uncultured Bacteroidota bacterium. Its description in RNAcentral is "bacterial SSU rRNA". It matches the Rfam family "Bacterial small subunit ribosomal RNA", at positions 86 to 823 of the family's 1533-position model. The record is from RNAcentral. Lineage: Bacteria; Pseudomonadati; Bacteroidota.